UACGUAGGGUGCAAGCGUUGUCCGGAAUUAUUGGGCGUAAAGAGCUCGUAGGCGGUUUGUUGCGUCUAUCGUGAAAACCUGCAGCUUAACUGUGGGCUUGCGGUGGAUACGGGCAGACUUGAGUUCGGUAGGGGAGACUGGAAUUCCUGGUGUAGCGGUGAAAUGCGCAGAUAUCAGGAAGAACACCCGUGGCGAAGGCGGCUCUCUGGUACGUGACUGACGCUGAGACGCGAAAGCGUGGGGAGCAAACAGG
RNAcentral lists this ribosomal RNA (253 nucleotides) under uncultured bacterium. RNAcentral's name for it is "partial 16S ribosomal RNA". It matches the Rfam family "Bacterial small subunit ribosomal RNA", at positions 524 to 776 of the family's 1533-position model. The record is from RNAcentral.